CCCUUAGAUGUUCUGGGCCGCACGCGCGCUACACUGAUGCAUUCAACGAGCCUAUCCUUGACCGACAGGUCCGGGUAAUCUUUGAAUCUGCAUCGUGACGGGGAUAGAUUAUUGCAAUUAUUAAUCUUCAACGAGGAAUGCCUAGUAGGCGCAAGUCAACAGCUUGCGUCGAUUACGUCCCUGCCCUUUGUACACACCGCCCGUCGCUCCUACCGAUUGGGUGUGCUGGUGAAAUGUUCGGAUCGGCCGUUUGUCGCGGUUUCCGCGUCAUGUGGCUGAGAAGUUCAUUAAACCCUCCCACCUAGAGGAAGGAGAAGUCGUAACA
RNAcentral lists this ribosomal RNA (325 nucleotides) under uncultured eukaryote. RNAcentral's name for it is "partial 18S ribosomal RNA". It matches the Rfam family "Eukaryotic small subunit ribosomal RNA", at positions 1470 to 1796 of the family's 1831-position model. The record is from RNAcentral.